GCGCGAAAACUUUACAAUGCGGGAAACCGUGAUAAGGGAAUCUCGAGUGCCAGCAUAUAAUGUUGGCUGUCCAGAUGCCUAAAAAGCAUCUGUUAGCAAGGGCCGGGCAAGACCGGUGCCAGCCGCCGCGGUAACACCGGCGGCCCGAGUGGUAACCGUUUUUAUUGGGUCUAAAGGGUCUGUAGCCGGCCAUGUAAGUCCCUUGGGAAAUCUGGCAGCUCAACUGUCAGGCUGCUAGGGGAUACUGCUUGGCUUGGGACCGGGAGAGGUGAGAGGUACCUUGAGGGUAGGGGUGAAAUCUUGUGAUCCUCGGGGGACCACCAGUGGCGAAGGCGUCUCACCAGAACGGGUCCGACGGUAAGGGACGAAAGCUAGGGGCACGAACCGGAUUAGAUACCCGGGUAGUCCUAGCCGUAAACGAUGCUCGCUAGGUGUCAGUCACGGUGCGACCGUGAUUGGUGCCGUAGGGAAGCCGUGAAGCGAGCCACCUGGGAAGUACGGCCGCAAGGCUGAAACUUAAAGGAAUCGGCGGGGGAGCACUACAACGGGUGGAGCCUGCGGUUUAAUUGGAUUCAACGCCGGAAAUCUCACCGGGGGCGACAGCAAUAUGAAGGUCAGGCUGAAGACCUUACCGGAUUAGCU
RNAcentral lists this ribosomal RNA (642 nucleotides) under uncultured Methanosaeta sp. RNAcentral describes it as "bacterial SSU rRNA". It matches the Rfam family "Archaeal small subunit ribosomal RNA", at positions 339 to 981 of the family's 1478-position model. The record is from RNAcentral. Lineage: Archaea; Methanobacteriati; Methanobacteriota; Methanomicrobia; Methanotrichales; Methanotrichaceae.